GUGGAGUGGAGUGGAGUGGAGAGGAGUCCAAUACCACUGGCGGGAAUUUGAAAAUGCGACGGAACAACAAAUAAUUACAGUUGUUUCCCAAAGAGCCCAUCAAGGAGCCUGUGACAGUGAGCAGCUAGCCCAUGCCAGUGACCCAGGAGAUCCUUCGGAUGUUAGUGAAAGACCUCAUCAGCAGACAGACUCGGAGAGUGAGGUAGAGCAGCCUCCAGUACUGCCCAGUGGAUCAAGAGCACCUCCAGACAUAUCCAAAUCAAGAGCUGAUGGACCAGUCCAGCCACACCUGAAGAUCUUUCCUAAAACACUCCAGGGUGACAGGAGCAGAAACUUUCAAGCCACAUGGUACCAUAAACACACAUGGCUCAAGUACUCGCAGAGCCAGGACUCUGCAUACUGCUAUGCAUGCAGGCAUUUUGGACUCCCAAACACAGACUCGACAUUUA
Molecule: long non-coding RNA, 449 nt
Organism: Clarias gariepinus (North African catfish)
Lineage: Eukaryota; Metazoa; Chordata; Actinopteri; Siluriformes; Clariidae
Exons: 4
Source: RefSeq, a predicted model, not a curated record